AGAGAGAGACAUGCGCGCAUAUCAAUAAGCGGAGGAAAAGAAACUAACAAGGAUUCCCUCAGUAACGGCGAGUGAAGCGGGAAGAGCUCAAAUUUGAAAUCUUCAAGGUUCUACCUUGACGAAUUGUAGUUUAAAGAAGUGUUUUCUGUUGAAGUUUUGGUAAAAGUUCUUUGGAAUAGGACAUCAUAGAGGGUGAGAAUCCCGUAUUUGACCAUUAUUUUCAGCUUUGUGAUACACUUUCAAAGAGUCGGAUUGUUUGGGAAUGCAGUCCAAAAUGGGUGGUAAAUUUCAUCUAAAGCUAAAUAUUAGCGAGAGACCGAUAGCGAACAAGUACCGUGAGGGAAAGAUGAAAAGAACUUUGAAAAGAGAGUUAAACAGUACGUGAAAUUGUCAAAAGGGAAGCGUUUGACACCAGUGUUGUUUUCUCGAAAAUCAAUUAAAAAUGGCUCGAUUUUGUAUUGUUGAGACCUUAAAAGCUCACUGUACAUUUUUCGUGUCUUUUUUAAUGCACUUUUCGUUUAACAAGUCAACAUCAGUUUCUUUUGUUGUAAAAGGGUCAUUGGAAGGUGGCUUUCUUUUCGGAGAAAGUGUUUAUAGCCUUUGGCCUCUGCAAUCGGAAGAGACUGAGGUCUGCAGCGUAGACUCUUCGGGGUUAGAUACAUUUGUGCUAAGUUAUAGCUUUUUAUAGACAACUUGUUGACUAUAAUUAGUCUUGUAGCUUACUCGCUUAUGCUAUUUUACCUACGCUUAGGAUGUUGAAGAUGUAGCACAUCA
RNAcentral lists this ribosomal RNA (774 nucleotides) under uncultured Neocallimastigales. RNAcentral's name for it is "partial large subunit ribosomal RNA". It matches the Rfam family "Eukaryotic large subunit ribosomal RNA", at positions 23 to 634 of the family's 3401-position model. Lineage: Eukaryota; Fungi; Neocallimastigomycota; Neocallimastigomycetes; Neocallimastigales. The record is from RNAcentral.